UCGUAAAGGUGCAUGAGUGGUGUUUGGUUUGUUACGUGUGGUUGGCUGCGGCGUUUGCAACAACUUCCAUGCUUUCAGACCUCUUCAUUUGUGCGGCAAGGCUUGUAUCGCCUUGAGCGUAUUGUGGGGUUGCUGUGUUGAAUACCUAAUCAAUGGUAUCGGUUGGAUUGAUCAAUGUUUCAUUUCGUCUGUCGUCGCAUUCGCGGCGUGAGAUGAACCUUGAUGCGGUCUCUUUGAUCCACCUCGUUGAAGCGCAUGCUUUGACGUUGUGGCGCAUUGAGCAUUGCUUGGUCUCUUGCAUACGGAACAUGUAGCGGGCAUGAAUCUAACGGUUCUUGUUUGCCCUCAUAUUAGCGUAACGCUUCUCUUACACGACUUGCUCCACGUUUUAGCUCGUACGGACGUGGU
This 408-nucleotide unclassified non-coding RNA is filed under the name Artemisia cana. RNAcentral's name for it is "partial external transcribed spacer". The record is from RNAcentral. Lineage: Eukaryota; Viridiplantae; Streptophyta; Magnoliopsida; Asterales; Asteraceae.